Molecule: small RNA, 3248 nt
Filed under: Pan troglodytes (chimpanzee)
Lineage: Eukaryota; Metazoa; Chordata; Mammalia; Primates; Hominidae
Description: retained intron
Source: RNAcentral
GGAAGGCAGGCAUGUGGAAGCCAGGUGCUGAGUCCUGGCCUCUCCACACAGGUGCCGCCCAGGUGAUGUGGUUUGAGAAGCUGUAUGCUGGCCUGCAGUGCGUAGAGAAGUACCUCAUCUACCCCGCCGUGGUGCUCAACGCCCUCACGGUGGACGCCCACACAGUCGUCAGCCACCCGGACAAGUACUGCUUCUACUGCCGGGCGCUGCUGAUGACCGUGGCUGGGCUGAAGCUGCUGCGCUCAGCCUUCUGCUGCCCCCCACAGCAGUACCUGACGUUGGCCUUCACCGUCCUGCUCUUCCACUUUGACUACCCGCGCCUCUCCCAGGGCUUUCUGCUUGACUACUUCCUCAUGUCCCUGCUUUGCAGCAAGCUGUGGGACUUGCUGUACAAGCUGCGUUUCGUGCUGACCUACAUCGCGCCCUGGCAGAUCACCUGGGGCUCGGCUUUCCACGCUUUUGCCCAGCCGUUUGCCGUGCCACACUCGGCCAUGCUGUUCGUCCAGGCCCUGCUCUCGGGGCUCUUCUCCACGCCUCUCAACCCACUGCUAGGCAGUGCCGUCUUCAUCAUGUCCUACGCUCGGCCCCUCAAGUUCUGGGAGCGCGACUACAACACUAAACGUGUGGAUCAUUCCAACACCCGCCUGGUCACACAGCUGGACCGGAACCCUGGCGCUGAUGACAACAACCUCAACUCCAUCUUCUAUGAGCACUUGACACGUUCGCUGCAGCACACACUGUGUGGGGACCUGGUGCUGGGCCGCUGGGGCAACUAUGGCCCUGGUGACUGCUUCGUCCUGGCCUCCGACUACCUCAACGCCCUGGUGCACCUCAUCGAGGUUGGCAAUGGCCUCGUCACCUUCCAGCUGCGUGGCCUUGAGUUCCGGGGCACUUACUGCCAGCAGCGCGAGGUGGAGGCCAUCACCGAGGGUGUGGAGGAGGACGAGGGCUGUUGCUGCUGUGAACCUGGCCACCUGCCACGGGUCCUGUCCUUCAAUGCUGCCUUUGGGCAGCGCUGGCUGGCUUGGGAGGUAACAGCCAGCAAGUACGUGCUGGAGGGCUAUAGCAUUAGUGACAAUAAUGCUGCCUCCAUGCUGCAGGUUUUCGACCUCCGCAAGAUCCUCAUCACCUACUAUGUCAAGAGCAUCAUCUACUACGUGAGCCGCUCACCAAAGCUGGAGGUAUGGCUCAGCCAUGAGGGCAUCACGGCAGCCCUGAGGCCUGUGCGGGCGCCCGGCUAUGCCGACUCGGAUCCCACCUUCUCGCUGAGCGUGGAUGAGGACUAUGACCUCCGCCUGUCUGGCCUCUCACUGCCCUCCUUUUGUGCUGUGCACCUCGAGUGGAUCCAGUACUGCGCCUCCCGGCGCAGCCAGCCCGUGGACCAGGAUUGGAACUCCCCGCUGGUCACGCUGUGUUUUGGCCUGUGUGUGCUGGGCCGCCGGGCCCUGGGGACAGCCUCUCACAGCAUGUCUGCAAGCCUGGAGCCCUUCCUCUACGGCCUGCACGCCCUGUUCAAGGGGGAUUUUCGCAUCACCUCCCCACGUGAUGAGUGGGUCUUUGCCGACAUGGACCUGCUUCACCGCGUUGUGGCGCCUGGGGUUCGCAUGGCCCUCAAGCUUCACCAGGACCACUUCACGUCCCCAGAUGAAUAUGAGGAGCCAGCAGCCCUAUAUGAUGCCAUUGCGGCCAACGAGGAGCGGCUGGUCAUCUCACAUGAGGGUGACCCAGCAUGGCGCAGCGCCAUCCUCAGCAACACGCCCUCCCUGCUGGCGCUGCGCCAUGUCCUGGAUGAUGCCUCCGACGAGUACAAGAUCAUCAUGCUCAACCGGCGCCACCUCAGCUUCCGAGUCAUCAAGGUUGGGCCGGCCCCACCUGCCCUAAGCCCUGCCCCAAACCCCCUUGGGCCGGCCCCCUGACCCUGGCGUGUGGCUCUCAGGUGAACCGGGAGUGCGUGCGCGGCCUGUGGGCCGGGCAGCAGCAGGAGCUGGUGUUCCUGCGCAACCGCAACCCCGAGCGUGGCAGCAUCCAGAACGCCAAGCAGGCGCUUCGCAACAUGAUCAACUCCUCCUGUGACCAGCCGCUUGGCUACCCCAUCUACGUGUCGCCUCUCACCACCUCGCUGGCUGGCAGCCACCCCCAGCUACGGGCACUGUGGGGUGGCCCCAUCAGCCUGGGUGCCAUUGCCCGCUGGCUCCUGCGCAGCUGGGAGAGGCUUCACAAGGGCUGUGGCGCCGGCUGCAAUAGUGGCGGGAACGUGGAUGAUUCAGACUGUAGUGGGGGCGGUGGCCUGACCUCCCUCAGCAAUAACCCCCCCGUGGCACACCCCACACCUGAGAACACGGCAGGCAAUGGUGACCAACCCCUCCCACCAGGCCCUGGCUGGGGGCCGCGGUCCUCCCUGAGUGGCUCUGGUGAUGGGCGGCCCCCACCUCUGCUGCAGUGGCCUCCCCCUCGGCUCCCUGGACCACCCCCUGCAUCGCCUAUCCCCACAGAGGGUCCCCGGACCUCACGGCCCCCUGGCCCGGGUCUCCUCAGUUCUGAGGGCCCCAGUGGGAAGUGGAGCCUGGGGGGCCGGAAGGGGCUGGGAGGAUCUGACGGGGAGCCAGCCUCAGGGAGCCCCAAAGGAGGUACCCCCAAAUCUCAGGUAAGGCACCUGUGGGAGGGUUGGGUCCCAGAAGGCUAAGGCCUGCUCACCCGCCAACCUCUCUCCCCUCCCCCAGGCGCCUCUAGACCUCAGCCUCAGCCUCAGCCCCGAUGUCAGCACUGAGGCCUCACCCCCCAGAGCUUCCCAGGACAUUCCUUGCUUGGACAGCAGUGCCCCUGAGAGUGGCACACCUAUGGGUGCCCUGGGCGACUGGCCUGCCCCUAUUGAGGAGCGUGAGAGCCCGGCAGCCCAGCCCCUGCUGGAACACCAGUACUGAGCUACCUGGCGCCCACUGGACCUCCUCCUAGGAUUCAGUAACGGACCUGCUCUGCUGCCUCUCUGCUGGACCACAGAACUGAGUGGCUUUGGCCUACAUGUCUGAACCCUGACCUUUGGCUGCCUUGGCCAGAGUGCCAAAACUGAGUGACCCAGACCUCUGACCUUGACCCCUGAUCUCUCUCAUCCCCAGUCCAGGGCCUGGGCUCCCCAGAUGGAGGCAGUCAGCCUCCCAGCCAGGCCCUAAGAGCCAAACCAUGGGCUGGUCCCACUUGGAGCCUGUGGCCAGGACCACUUCAGCCCCUGGGCCUGCACUGCCUGCAGGGGU